RNAcentral lists this ribosomal RNA (372 nucleotides) under uncultured organism. RNAcentral describes it as "partial 16S ribosomal RNA". It matches the Rfam family "Bacterial small subunit ribosomal RNA", at positions 527 to 896 of the family's 1533-position model. The record is from RNAcentral.
GUAGGUGGCAAGCGUUGUCCGGAAUUAUUGGGCGUAAAGCGCGCGCAGGCGGUUCUUUAAGUCUGAUGUGAAAGCCCACGGCUCAACCGUGGAGGGUCAUUGGAAACUGGAGAACUUGAGUACAGAAGAGGAAAGCGGAAUUCCACGUGUAGCGGUGAAAUGCGUAGAGAUGUGGAGGAACACCAGUGGCAAGGCGGCUUUCUGGUCUGUAACUGACGCUGAGGCGCGAAAGCGUGGGGAGCAAACAGGGAUUAGAUACCCUGGUAGUCCACGCCGUAAACGAUGAGUGCUAAGUGUUAGGGGGUUUCCGCCCCCUUAGUGCUGCAGCUAACGCAUUAAGCACUCCGCCUGGGGAGUACGGCCGCAAGGCUG